GGGUUCAUUUGGAGCUCUCUUCAAAGAGGGUUUCUUCGAUUGAGGGGGGAGAGACUGCUGUCGAUCUCUCUGACUCUGAUUAGUAGUAGCAAAGAGAAAAAAGCGCAAAAACAAAUUGAAUUUUUUCUGAAAUUCGAAGUUCAAAUCCAAUUCUUUCCUCUCUGAACGACCCCAAAACUUCGCUUUCAAUCUCUUCAACUUGCUUUAGGGCUUUUCUUUCUGAACUUCGAUCGCCAUGGAUUUGCGAUUCCCUUACUCUCCGGCAGAGGUUGCCAAAGUCAGAAUGGUUCAGUUUGGCAUUCUUAGUCCCGACGAGAUUAGGCAAAUGUCCGUGGUACAGAUUGAGCACGGUGAAACCACAGAGAGGGGUAAGCCAAAAGUAGCUGGUUUGAGUGACCCACGACUUGGUACAAUCGACAGAAAAAUGAAGUGUGAAACUUGCACUGCAAAUAUGGCUGAGUGUCCUGGGCACUUUGGGCACCUCGAGCUUGCCAAACCAAUGUUCCAUAUUGGGUUUAUGAAGACCGUGCUCACUAUUAUGCGUUCUGUGUGCUUCAAUUGCUCAAAGAUUCUAGUUGACGAGGAAGACCCUAAGUUUAAACAAGCAUUGCGAAUAAAGAAUCCUAAGAAUAGGCUUAGAAAGAUUUUGGAUGCCUGCAAGAACAAAACCAAGUGUGAGGGUGGCGAUGAAAUCGAUGUUCAAGGUCAAGAUUCAGAUCAACCAGUCAAAAAGAGUCGGGGUGGCUGUGGUGCUCAGCAGCCUAAGAUCUCAAUUGAGGGUAUGAAGAUGACUGCAGAGUACAAGGCCCAAAGGAAAAAAAAUGAUGAUCCGGAGCAGCUGCCUGAGCCUGUGGAAAGAAAACAAACACUUACUGCUGAAAGGGUUCUUGGCAUUCUGAAAAGAAUAACUGAUGAGGAUUGCAAACUCUUGGGCCUCAAUCCAAAGUAUGCUCGGCCUGACUGGAUGAUUCUGCAAGUCCUUCCAAUUCCGCCUCCUCCUGUGAGACCAUCAGUUAUGAUGGACACCUCAUCUAGAAGUGAGGACGACCUAACUCAUCAGUUGGCAAUGAUUAUAAGGCACAACGAAAACCUCAGGAGACAAGAGAGAAAUGGUUCUCCUGCACAUAUCAUUUCAGAGUUUGCGCAACUACUGCAGUUUCAUAUAGCCACAUAUUUUGAUAAUGAAUUACCUGGACUACCCAGGGCCACACAGAGAUCUGGGAGACCCAUUAAAUCCAUUUGUAGCAGGCUCAAGGCAAAGGAAGGUCGGAUAAGAGGAAAUUUGAUGGGAAAACGUGUAGAUUUUUCAGCACGAACCGUUAUAACACCUGAUCCAACCAUUAAUAUUGAUGAACUGGGGGUACCUUGGAGUAUUGCUUUGAAUCUUACGUAUCCAGAGACUGUGACACCAUAUAAUAUAGAAAGGUUAAAGGAACUUGUUGAAUAUGGACCCCAUCCUCCACCUGGUAAAACUGGUGCCAAGUACAUCAUACGAGAUGAUGGGCAGAGGCUUGAUCUUCGUUAUCUUAAAAAAAGUAGUGAUCAUCAUUUGGAGCUUGGGUACAAGGUGGAGCGUCAUUUAAACGAUGGUGAUUUUGUACUUUUUAAUCGUCAGCCUAGUCUCCAUAAAAUGUCUAUUAUGGGACACAGAAUCAAGAUCAUGCCCUACUCAACUUUCCGUCUAAAUUUAUCUGUCACAUCACCUUACAAUGCUGAUUUUGAUGGUGAUGAAAUGAAUAUGCAUGUUCCUCAGUCAUUUGAGACAAGGGCAGAAGUAUUGGAACUCAUGAUGGUUCCCAAAUGCAUUGUGUCACCUCAGUCGAACCGUCCUGUAAUGGGUAUAGUGCAAGAUACUCUCCUAGGAUGCCGUAAAAUUACAAAAAGGGACACCUUUAUAACGAAGGAUGUUUUCAUGAAUACUUUGAUGUGGUGGGAGGAUUUUGACGGGAAAAUUCCUGCCCCUGCGAUUUUAAAGCCACAACCUCUUUGGACGGGAAAGCAAGUUUUUAAUCUUAUUAUACCAAAGCAGAUUAAUCUCACGAGAACUUCUGCCUGGCAUUCUGAAUCCGAAACUGGACACAUAACUCCUGGAGAUACUUUUGUUAGGAUUGAGAAGGGGGAGCUACUUUCUGGAACACUUUGCAAGAAGGCACUUGGAACUUCAACUGGAAGUCUUAUACAUGUUAUUUGGGAGGAGGUUGGUCCGGAUGCAGCCCGAAAAUUUCUGGGUCAUACUCAGUGGCUCGUCAAUUACUGGCUUUUGCAGAAUGCUUUUAGCAUUGGGAUUGGGGAUACAAUUGCUGAUGCAGCAACCAUGGAGAAAAUUAAUGAAACUAUCUCUGCUGCUAAAAACGAAGUGAAAAACCUUAUAAAGAAAGCCCAAGAACGGAGUUUAGAGCCUGAACCUGGACGAACAAUGAUGGAUUCAUUUGAAAACAAAGUGAAUCAAGUCCUGAAUAAGGCUCGUGACGAUGCUGGUAGUAGUGCGCAAAAAAGUUUGUCAGAGAGUAACAAUUUGAAAGCUAUGGUCACUGCAGGAUCCAAGGGAAGUUUUAUCAACAUCUCCCAGAUGACUGCUUGUGUGGGGCAGCAGAAUGUUGAAGGGAAGCGAAUACCAUUUGGUUUCAUUGAUCGAACAUUGCCCCAUUUCACUAAAGAUGAUUAUGGGCCUGAAAGUCGUGGCUUUGUUGAGAACUCAUAUCUUCGAGGUUUGACUCCACAGGAGUUCUUUUUUCAUGCUAUGGGUGGUAGGGAAGGUCUUAUUGAUACUGCAGUCAAGACCUCUGAAACAGGGUACAUACAGAGGAGGCUGGUGAAGGCCAUGGAGGAUAUUAUGGUUAAAUAUGAUGGGACUGUUAGAAACUCAUUGGGUGAUGUUAUUCAGUUUCUUUAUGGUGAAGAUGGUAUGGACGCUGUUUGGAUCGAAUCUCAGAAACUCGAUUCUUUGAAAAUGAAGAAAAAGGAAUUUGAGAGGAUCUUCAGGUAUGAGUUUGAAGAUGAAAACUGGAAGCCAAAUUACAUGUUGCCAGAGCAUGUAGAAGAUUUGAAAACCAUCAGAGAAUUCCGCAAUGUGUUUGAGGCUGAAGUUCAAAAGCUUGAAGCGGACAGGUAUCAAUUAGGAACAGAAAUUGCAACUACAGGUGAAAACUCUUGGCCAAUGCCAGUUAACCUGAAAAGGCUAAUUCAGAAUGCACAGAAAACUUUCAAGAUUGACUUUCGAAGGGCUUCUGACAUGCAUCCUAUGGAAAUUGUUGAAGCUAUUGACAAACUUCAAGAGAGGCUGAAGGUUGUUCCUGGUGAAGAUCCUCUAAGUGUGGAGGCUCAAAAGAAUGCCACCCUUUUCUUCAAUAUAUUACUCCGAAGCACUUUUGCUAGCAAAAGGGUUUUGGAUGAAUACAGGCUUACCCGUGAAGCAUUUGAGUGGGUUAUUGGAGAAAUAGAAUCACGCUUCCUUCAGUCACUAGUAGCACCUGGUGAAAUGAUUGGCUGUGUUGCUGCACAGUCCAUUGGAGAGCCGGCAACUCAGAUGACUCUUAAUACCUUCCAUUAUGCUGGUGUUAGUGCGAAGAAUGUCACUCUUGGUGUUCCCAGAUUGAGGGAAAUCAUUAAUGUAGCCAAGAGAAUCAAAACACCUUCUCUUUCUGUCUAUCUAAAACCCGAAGCUAAUAAAACCAAGGAAAGGGCGAAGACUGUUCAAUGUGCUUUGGAGUAUACUACUCUUAGAAGUGUUACACAAGCGACGGAAGUAUGGUACGAUCCUGACCCCAUGAGCACGAUUAUUGAAGAGGACAUUGAUUUUGUAAAAUCCUAUUAUGAGAUGCCAGAUGAGGAAAUUGCUCCUGAGAAAAUCUCCCCAUGGUUGCUUCGAAUAGAGUUGAAUCGUGAAAUGAUGGUCGAUAAGAAACUAAGCAUGGCGAAUAUUGCCGAGAAGAUCAACCUUGAAUUUGACGACGAUUUGACUUGCAUAUUUAAUGAUGAUAAUGCUGAGAAGCUGAUACUUCGUAUCCGUAUCAUGAAUGAUGAAGCUCCAAAGGGGGAGUUGACUGAUGAAUCAGCUGAAGACGAUGUGUUCUUGAAGAAAAUUGAGAGUAAUAUGCUAACUGAAAUGGCUCUUCGAGGAAUACCAGACAUCAACAAGGUUUUCAUUAAAUGUGGUAAAGUGAAUAAGUUUGAUGAGAAUGAGGGUUUUAAACCAGAGAUGGAGUGGAUGUUGGAUACAGAAGGUGUCAAUCUUUUAGCCGUCAUGACACAUGAAGAUGUUGAUGCGAGGAGGACCACAAGCAACCAUUUGAUUGAAGUUAUUGAAGUUCUUGGAAUUGAAGCAGUUCGGCGUUCUCUUCUGGAUGAAUUGCGUGUUGUUAUAUCCUUUGAUGGUUCUUAUGUUAAUUACAGACAUCUUGCCAUCCUUUGUGACACCAUGACUUAUCGUGGCCACUUGAUGGCUAUUACUCGUCAUGGUAUUAAUAGAAAUGAUACUGGACCAAUGAUGAGAUGCUCAUUUGAAGAAACUGUGGAUAUCUUACUUGAUGCUGCAGUAUAUGCUGAAACUGACCACUUAAGGGGUGUAACUGAAAAUAUAAUGUUGGGUCAGCUGGCUCCCAUAGGAACAGGAGGCUGUGCUCUGUAUCUCAACGAUGAGAUGUUGAAGAAUGCUAUUGAACUCCAGCUGCCUAGUUACAUUGACGGUCUGGAUUUUGGCAUGACCCCUUCCCGUUCCCCAAUCUCAGGAACUCCUUAUCAUGAAGGGAUGAUGUCUCCUAAUUAUUUGUUGAGCCCAAAUCUCCGCCUGUCACCUAUCAGCGACGCUCAAUUUUCACCCUAUGUAGGAGGCAUGGCAUUCUCUCCUACGUCAUCUCCAGGCUAUAGCCCAUCAUCUCCGGGCUACAGUCCAUCAUCCCCUGGCUAUAGUCCCACAUCUCCUGGUUAUAGUCCUACUUCUCCAGGGUACAGCCCUACCUCUCCAGGCUACAGUCCUACAUCUCCAACUUACAGUCCUAGUUCGCCGGGCUAUAGCCCAACUAGUCCUGCAUAUUCUCCUACAAGUCCAUCUUAUUCACCCACCUCUCCCAGUUACAGCCCAACCUCUCCAAGUUACAGCCCCACCUCUCCUAGUUACAGCCCCACAUCACCAAGUUACAGCCCCACUUCCCCAAGUUACAGCCCCACUUCGCCUGCUUACAGCCCCACUUCACCUGCUUACAGUCCCACUUCACCUGCAUACAGCCCAACUUCACCCUCCUACAGCCCAACUUCGCCCUCCUACAGCCCAACUUCACCCUCCUACAGCCCAACAUCACCCUCCUACAGCCCAACAUCACCGUCUUACAGUCCCACAUCACCUUCGUACAGCCCCACCUCUCCAGCAUAUAGCCCCACCUCCCCUGGCUAUAGUCCCACGUCACCGAGCUAUAGCCCCACUUCUCCUAGCUAUAGUCCAACCUCACCUAGUUAUAAUCCUCAAUCAGCUAAAUACAGCCCAUCACAGGCGUACUUACCCAGUAGUCCACGGUUGUCUCCUUCAAGUCCAUAUAGCCCAACCUCGCCCAAUUACAGCCCAACAUCACCAUCAUAUUCACCUACUUCUCCAGCAUAUUCUCCAUCCAGCCCAACCUACAGUCCUAGCAGUCCAUAUAAUACAGGACCCAGCCCAGACUACAGCCCUAGUUCUCCACAGUACAGUCCAAGUGCAGGGUACUCACCUACUGCUCCUGGGUAUUCUCCAUCAUCUACUAGUCAGUACACUCCACAAACAAGUGACAAGGAUGAUAGGAGUAGAAAGGAUGAUAGGAACAAUUGAUGAUGAGGGUUCCAAAGCAAACAUCCUUGAAGGAAGAGGGUAAAGUUCUUGAAGCCCUGAUAUCACUGAUGAUGAAAAAAAAGGAGGCUAACUGGUAAUUUGUAAAUGUCAGGCCCUUGAAUUUCAAACGAGAAGAGGCUAAUAAACACCCAAAUACAGCAAGGCAGCAAGUUGCUCGGAAUGGACACAUUAUUACACCACUUGGGCUUUCGCAAGCUUGUUAAUUUCUGCUUUGAAGAAUUUGUCAAACAUAUUACAAGCAAAAACUCAUUCCCUUACAUUACAACCAUACUUUCCAUGUAAUUUUGUACUCUUGCCAAAUAGUUGAUCAUUAUUUGAAUUAUCCUGUAUUUUGUGUGUUCAUGUUGGAACUCUUCUAAAAUGUUGUUACCUUCUCAGACUAAAUGAUAAUGUCUCUCAACCAUUAACCAUAAAGUUAUAUACUAUUGUAGUCUUAUUAGAA
Molecule: RNA transcript, 6260 nt
Organism: Cucumis sativus (cucumber)
Lineage: Eukaryota; Viridiplantae; Streptophyta; Magnoliopsida; Cucurbitales; Cucurbitaceae
Gene name: DNA-directed RNA polymerase II subunit 1
Exons: 14
Source: RefSeq, a predicted model, not a curated record